This 442-nucleotide ribosomal RNA is filed under the name uncultured bacterium. Its description in RNAcentral is "partial 16S ribosomal RNA". It matches the Rfam family "Bacterial small subunit ribosomal RNA", at positions 338 to 795 of the family's 1533-position model. The record is from RNAcentral.
CCUACGGGAGGCAGCAGUGGGGAAUAUUGGGCAAUGGACGCAAGUCUGACCCAGCAACGCCGCGUGAAGGAAGAAGGCUUUCGGGUUGUAAACUUCUUUUAAGGGGGAAGAGCAGAAGACGGUACCCCUUGAAUAAGCCAUGGCUAACUACGUGCCAGCAGCCGCGGUAAUACGUAGGUGGCAAGCGUUGUCCGGAUUUACUGGGUGUAAAGGGCGUGCAGCCGGAGAGACAAGUCAGAUGUGAAAUCCACGGGCUCAACUCGUGGACUGCAUUUGAAACUGUUUCCCUUGAGUGUCGGAGAGGUAAGCGGAAUUCCUUGUGUAGCGGUGAAAUGCGUAGAUAUAAGGAAGAACACCAGUGGCGAAGGCAGAUUACUGGACGAUAACUGACGGUGAGGCGCGAAAGCGUGGGGAGCAAACAGGAUUAGAUACCCCUGUAGUC